GUGAGUUAGUGUUUGCUUAGCUUGCUAGCUGAUCUUUACUAAUCGAGAUUUUCUUUGUCUGUUAAAGUCUGGUAUUUAUUAGUUUAAGUUUAUCUGGUCACGGUUUAGUCCAGUUUCAGUUUUUCUUUUUGUUUGGAUCUCUAUUUUAGUUUCUCAUGAGUUUGAUUUGUUUUUGAGUUUGACUUGUUUUUGUUGUUGAGUUUGAGUUUCUUGAUUUAGUCUUUCCAGUUAUUUCUAGAACUAUUUUGUAUUUGUUUCUUUACCUUUUAAUUUACUUUUGUCUUGUCUAGUGUUUUGUGAGUUCUGUCUGUUCCUGUCUUGCCUCCUGCUUUCUCCCUGGCCACUGGGUCUCCCUGCCUGGAGGUCUGACGUGUGUGGCUUCACCUCCAUAGCCAAGUGCCCUUGGUUCCUGGUGCUGUGGUCUGGUCUCUAGCACAGCCUCCUCUACAGUCCUGCGCUCGGUUGGCACCCAGGGCCCUCCUCGGCGGUCAUCCCCCCCCAUCUGCCUGCUUCACUGUUGUACGCCCUUUCCUACUGUCUGGACUGUUCAAGCCACUCCCUCCUAUCGUGCUUGUCUUAUUUGUCAAUAAACGUCCCCUGUUCAAUCUGCAUUUGGGUCCUCUCCCUCAGUAACCCUGACAGAACGAACCAGCCAAG
Molecule: long non-coding RNA, 657 nt
Organism: Cyprinus carpio carpio
Lineage: Eukaryota; Metazoa; Chordata; Actinopteri; Cypriniformes; Cyprinidae
Source: Ensembl